UUAAAUCAUUAAAUUAAGAAGAUUUGGCGGUAUUUUAAAUAAUUAGAGGAACCUGUAUAUUAAUUGAUAGUCCACGAUAAGAAAAACUUGAUUAUUUAUGUAUUGCUGUUUAAAGAUUAUUAUUAAUUAAAUUUUUAUAAUUUUAUAAUAAUUUAAUUCAAGUCAAAAUAUAGUUUAAUUAAGAUAUGGGUUACAAUUUAUUAUUGAAAUAGGAUUUAAUAGUAA
This 225-nucleotide ribosomal RNA is filed under the name Polybia depressa. RNAcentral describes it as "partial small subunit ribosomal RNA". The record is from RNAcentral. Lineage: Eukaryota; Metazoa; Arthropoda; Insecta; Hymenoptera; Vespidae.